This 72-nucleotide transfer RNA is filed under the name Elusimicrobia bacterium CG08_land_8_20_14_0_20_51_18. RNAcentral's name for it is "tRNA-Val". It matches the Rfam family "tRNA". Rfam says of the family: Transfer RNA (tRNA) molecules are approximately 80 nucleotides in length. Their secondary structure includes four short double-helical elements and three loops (D, anti-codon, and T loops). Further hydrogen bonds mediate the characteristic L-shaped molecular structure. tRNAs have two regions of fundamental functional importance: the anti-codon, which is responsible for specific mRNA codon recognition, and the 3' end, to which the tRNAs corresponding amino acid is attached (by aminoacyl-tRNA synthetases). tRNAs cope with the degeneracy of the genetic code in two manners: having more than one tRNA (with a specific anti-codon) for a particular amino acid; and 'wobble' base-pairing, i.e. permitting non-standard base-pairing at the 3rd anti-codon position. Lineage: Bacteria; Pseudomonadati; Elusimicrobiota. The record is from RNAcentral.
GGGCAGUUAGCUCAGCGGAAGAGCACCUCCCUUACAAGGAGGGGGUCACAGGUUCGAACCCUGUACUGCCCA